Molecule: unclassified non-coding RNA, 390 nt
Filed under: soil metagenome
Description: partial contains 5.8S ribosomal RNA, internal transcribed spacer 2, and large subunit ribosomal RNA
Rfam family: 5.8S ribosomal RNA (bases 1-122)
Source: RNAcentral
GAUGAAGAACGCAGCGAAAUGCGAUACUUGGUGUGAAUUGCAGAAUCCCGUGAACCAUCGAGUCUUUGAACGCAAGUUGCGCCCGAAGCCAUUAGGCCGAGGGCACGCCUGCCUGGGUGUUACACGUCGUUGCCCCCCCAUCUACUCCUUCGGGAUUGCGGGGGGCGGAUGAUGGCCUCCCGUGCGCCUCGUCGCGCGGUUGGCAUAAAUGCCAAGUCCUCGGCGACGCACGCCACGACAAUCGGUGGUUGCGAAACCUCGGUUGCCCGUCGUGUGCGGUCGUCGCGCAUCGAGGGCUCGAAAAAAUUGCCGGGCUCCGGCUCGGCUUUCAACGCGACCCCAGGUCAGGCGGGGUUACCCGCUGAAUUUAAGCAUAUCAAUAAGCGGAGA